GCCAGUGUGAUGUAGUGGUUUGUAUGUUGGACUACAACUCUGGAAACCAGGGUUCAAUUCCCAGCUGAGCCA
This is a non-coding RNA of Phrynosoma platyrhinos (Desert horned lizard), 72 nucleotides long. The record is from the annotation of a GenBank genome assembly. Lineage: Eukaryota; Metazoa; Chordata; Lepidosauria; Squamata; Phrynosomatidae.